Molecule: ribosomal RNA, 1014 nt
Filed under: Staphylococcus aureus VET0519S
Lineage: Bacteria; Bacillati; Bacillota; Bacilli; Caryophanales; Staphylococcaceae
Description: bacterial SSU rRNA
Rfam family: Bacterial small subunit ribosomal RNA
Source: RNAcentral
AGAGUUUGAUCCUGGCUCAGGAUGAACGCUGGCGGCGUGCCUAAUACAUGCAAGUCGAGCGAACGGACGAGAAGCUUGCUUCUCUGAUGUUAGCGGCGGACGGGUGAGUAACACGUGGAUAACCUACCUAUAAGACUGGGAUAACUUCGGGAAACCGGAGCUAAUACCGGAUAAUAUUUUGAACCGCAUGGUUCAAAAGUGAAAGACGGUCUUGCUGUCACUUAUAGAUGGAUCCGCGCUGCAUUAGCUAGUUGGUAAGGUAACGGCUUACCAAGGCAACGAUGCAUAGCCGACCUGAGAGGGUGAUCGGCCACACUGGAACUGAGACACGGUCCAGACUCCUACGGGAGGCAGCAGUAGGGAAUCUUCCGCAAUGGGCGAAAGCCUGACGGAGCAACGCCGCGUGAGUGAUGAAGGUCUUCGGAUCGUAAAACUCUGUUAUUAGGGAAGAACAUAUGUGUAAGUAACUGUGCACAUCUUGACGGUACCUAAUCAGAAAGCCACGGCUAACUACGUGCCAGCAGCCGCGGUAAUACGUAGGUGGCAAGCGUUAUCCGGAAUUAUUGGGCGUAAAGCGCGCGUAGGCGGUUUUUUAAGUCUGAUGUGAAAGCCCACGGCUCAACCGUGGAGGGUCAUUGGAAACUGGAAAACUUGAGUGCAGAAGAGGAAAGUGGAAUUCCAUGUGUAGCGGUGAAAUGCGCAGAGAUAUGGAGGAACACCAGUGGCGAAGGCGACUUUCUGGUCUGUAACUGACGCUGAUGUGCGAAAGCGUGGGGAUCAAACAGGAUUAGAUACCCUGGUAGUCCACGCCGUAAACGAUGAGUGCUAAGUGUUAGGGGGUUUCCGCCCCUUAGUGCUGCAGCUAACGCAUUAAGCACUCCGCCUGGGGAGUACGACCGCAAGGUUGAAACUCAAAGGAAUUGACGGGGACCCGCACAAGCGGUGGAGCAUGUGGUUUAAUUCGAAGCAACGCGAAGAACCUUACCAAAUCUUGACAUCCUUUGACAACUCUAG